GACGAACGCUGGCGGCGUGCUUAACACAUGCAAGUCGAACGGAAAGGCCCUGCUUUUGUGGGGUGCUCGAGUGGCGAACGGGUGAGUAACACGUGAGUAACCUGCCCUUGACUUUGGGAUAACUUCAGGAAACUGGGGCUAAUACCGGAUAGGAGCUCCUGCUGCAUGGUGGGGGUUGGAAAGUUUCGGCGGUUGGGGAUGGACUCGCGGCUUAUCAGCUUGUUGGUGGGGUAGUGGCUUACCAAGGCUUUGACGGGAAGCCGGCCUGAGAGGGUGACCGGCCACAUUGGGACUGAGAUACGGCCCAGACUCCUACGGGAGGCAGCAGUGGGGAAUAUUGCACAAUGGGCGGAAGCCUGAUGCAGCAACGCCGCGUGCGGGAUGACGGCCUUCGGGUUGUAAACCGCUUUCGCCUGUGACGAAGCGUGAGUGACGGUAAUGGGUAAAGAAGCACCGGCUAACUACGU
RNAcentral lists this ribosomal RNA (467 nucleotides) under uncultured bacterium. RNAcentral's name for it is "partial 16S ribosomal RNA". It matches the Rfam family "Bacterial small subunit ribosomal RNA", at positions 28 to 506 of the family's 1533-position model. The record is from RNAcentral.